AGUGAACGCUGGCGGUAGGCCUAACACAUGCAAGUCGAACGGCAGCACAGUAAGAGCUUGCCCUUACGGGUGGCGAGUGGCGGACGGGUGAGGAAUACAUCGGAAUCUACUUUUUCGUGGGGGAUAACGUAGGGAAACUUACGCUAAUACCGCAUACGACCUACGGGUGAAAGCAGGGGAUCUUCGGACCUUGCGCGAUUGAAUGAGCCGAUGUCGGAUUAGCUAGUUGGCGGGGUAAAGGCCCACCAAGGCGACGAUCCGUAGCUGGUCUGAGAGGAUGAUCGGCCACACUGGAACUGAGACACGGUCCAGACUCCUACGGGAGGCAGCAGUGGGGAAUAUUGGACAAUGGGCGCAAGCCUGAUCCAGCCAUACCGCGUGAGUGAAGAAGGCCUUCGGGUUGUAAAGCCCUUUUGUUGGGAAAGAAAAGCAGCAGGUUAAUACCCCGCUGUUCUGACGGUACCCAAUGAAUAAGCACCGGCUAACUUCGUG
Molecule: ribosomal RNA, 492 nt
Filed under: uncultured bacterium
Lineage: Bacteria
Description: partial 16S ribosomal RNA
Rfam family: Bacterial small subunit ribosomal RNA
Source: RNAcentral